This 235-nucleotide long non-coding RNA is filed under the name Mytilus galloprovincialis (Mediterranean mussel). Lineage: Eukaryota; Metazoa; Mollusca; Bivalvia; Mytilida; Mytilidae. The record is from RNAcentral.
UUCGUGUUCAUAUUAUAAAAACGUAGGUUAUUUGUGUGUGUUUUUUUAUUACUAUCAUUGUAUACUCAUUUUACGAUCUUUUACUAUUUCAUUAAAAGAUCAAAAUAAAUUACUUAAAUUCUUUUUCUAUGCCCAUUAAAAUGUUUGUAGCAUUUCACUCUUUAUAAUGUGCCAAACUUUGUAUUUUGGAAGGCAAAAUUUGUUUUUAAUUUCUACAACUUUUAUUCGAAACGGC